CGGAAAAAACUAAUUCUCAGGGGGUUUGUAACGUACUAUAAAGAAUAAAAAAGCUGAAUAAUUUUUUUUGGGAAAGUCACAAUUUUCAGUUAAACGAUAACAAUAAUUUUUCUCAAAGAAAACACUCGAGCCCACACCACUCAAUGUGUGAGUGCAGGACGCGAAAACCAAUUAUAACGAUGUGUCUUGUUUCUGUGGAUGGGAUGGAAUUGAAAAUGUUUUUCAUCAGAGCAAGAAGAGGAAAAAGGAAAAGGAGACGAGGAAGAGAAGGGCGUAGGAGCCUUCUUUGCGUGAGCGUAUUCGUAUAGGGGG
Molecule: non-coding RNA, 312 nt
Organism: Caenorhabditis elegans
Lineage: Eukaryota; Metazoa; Nematoda; Chromadorea; Rhabditida; Rhabditidae
Source: Ensembl